UCAAUCCCCAGCACCACAAAGAAGGGGGAAAAAAAUCAAAAAAGUCAUAGGAAUGGAUAAGUAGACUGGUUCCCCCAUCUUCCCUCAUCUGGGUGUCUUUGCAGGGCUCAGUAGCAUGAUGCUCCAGAUGUCCUGGUCAAGGGGCUGUGAGUCAUGGUCUUCCAGGUCAUCCUGGUACAGACAGUGCAGAGAGGCAGCACAGUUGACAACACUCCCUGUGAAUUCAGUGGAAAGAAAACCUUGGGCUGGGCUGAGAGGUUUGGAAAACCAGUCAUUUGAGGAGAAUCUUGGAAAGUUGGAGUAGGAAGGGGCCUUGGAGACCCUUGAGCUGACUGCACCUGCCUCUUUAUUAACUGCAGAAGAGUGAAAAACCUAGCAACAUGAAAUUAAAUCUUUUUCUGCUUUGGCAUCAGUAUGCCCAUGGAGAGUGCUGAAGACAUGUGAAAGAUUUAAUGCUCAGGGAGAGCAGGAGAUUAUUUGCUUCUGCCCCAGCAACAGACUAUUCUAAGAGCUCUGAUUGCUUAAGAGAGGCAGGGCACAGACACAGAAACUGUGGAUAUGGAGGGCUGACCAGAUAGAAUUUCUUUCUUCUUAAAUGAGAUAGAGUGGAUUCUGUUGUCUGCAAUAAAGUCUGGUUUAAUGUAAGUGAUUUUCAUAAGUUACUCUGUAGUUUAUCCAUUAAUGUUUCCUUCACCCUAUCAUCAUCUAAAUUACAUCUCUUCAUUGCAAGAUAAGCUUUGUGAGGGUGUAACCUUGUCUGUCUGGUUAACAGUUUUGUCCCCACCCAGCACCUAGAACAGUUCUUGAAACACAGAAAGUGUACCAUAACCAUAUAUUGAAUGAAUGAAUGGGCCACGGGCAUUUGCUGUGGUACUCCACUCGGUAACCCACACCCCAGGAGUCUCAGCAACAGUGGGGUUUGUUAUGAAGCUAUAGUCUUUCAUUUGACUCACCCAUUUGUGUCUGGUCCAGCUCCAAUUUCAUUCUUCUGACUCAGCAAUGAAAAUAUGUACUUCCGAUGAUGAUGACAGAGCAAGUCCUUGAAUUCCCUAAAAGCUCUGCAUCAGGAAGUUGCUACUAAAUGGAGUGCCUUGCACCACUGAUCAGCAGAACAAUGCUCAGCUGAAUUCUGCUAUCAGUGGUAUCAGGCAGCAGCUGGUCAGAGA
Molecule: long non-coding RNA, 1166 nt
Organism: Marmota monax (woodchuck)
Lineage: Eukaryota; Metazoa; Chordata; Mammalia; Rodentia; Sciuridae
Exons: 3
Source: RefSeq, a predicted model, not a curated record